CGAGCUCGGUAGGUUUUCGUCGUCGUUUCGGAGGGCCGUUUAAGCGUGCGUGCAUCGUGGUAGCGCCGUUAGAGGCCGGGUGAGUGCGUGUUUUCCUCUCCUUCCGACAUCUCGCCGUCGUUGGAUUAGCUUUUCGAGGUGGGUUGAUGUUACCGGAAUUUUCAGAUUUCCUCCUAAGCCGCAGUUGACAGCAUGUACUAUUGGCUUUUGUAUAUCAUGUUUUAUAGAUCGAAUUCGUGGAUUUGCAUGUUUUUUGAAACCUGAAUUUGGAGCUUAGUUAUUGGUUUAGAUAAAUUAUACAUGUUGGACUUGGAUUUGAUUUAGGAGAAAGCAUUUAGAUUCUACACUGUCAUUUUCUGAAAACUAUCAGAUUUAUCUUUAGGAGCUGUAGUUUGUUUGUAUCGCCGCAGUUUGUAUGCGGUGGAUAUCCAGAAUAGUGUAAAAUAAAUUUACGCUCGUGCUGGAAUAACGAGGGUAUUUUUACAGUGUUGUAUAGACAGUUCCGGACUGUCCGAUACCGUCACGGUUGACGGUGGACCCAGUUUGCUAUUUCUGCAUCGAAUUGUGCCGAGAAUACGUGAGUUUUGGUUGUUAGAUCAGUUAGACUCUUCUGCUUUGACUAUAGCCUGUGAGAGCCUGAUUGAGCUCGGCGGAGAUACCUUGCAUACUCGGUUGGGUAGUGCCCACGAGUGCCACUCCGGAGUCGGGCUUUAUGCUUUUGCGUUGUUGUCGUUGUGUUCUGGUUGGACUUGCUCUCCACUGAUGACCCAGCGUGGAGGUAGUUAGUGUAGCUUCGAUAGGCGGGACGGGUGUGUUCACAGUCCCUAGUGAGUUGGGUCAGACAUUGCAUUUUUCUACAGAUAAUUAGUGUUGGAUCGAGAUACUAUAGUGGCAUAUAGUUGUAGAGGUUUUUAGCUUUCUUUACUAUCUUUGAGCAUAUUUCUGUAGAUUUAGUGGGUGAGCCGUUGAGGUCGGUAGCGGUACCCACUGAAAACUAUUUCUUUUUGUAGUAGUUCUCACACCCAGUGGUUGGCCCCUUUUUGUAGAGCCUUCUUCUGCGGCUGCUGCUAUUCCUGAUAUUGAGCGUGAGAAGGGUGUUGCGAGCUAGAUCCCUUCCAGACGAGUUGCAGAGCUAGAGGAGUACUUUCAACAGUAGUUUUGGAUUUUUUUAUGUACAUAUGAUUGUUGUCUG
Molecule: long non-coding RNA, 1192 nt
Filed under: Ananas comosus (pineapple)
Lineage: Eukaryota; Viridiplantae; Streptophyta; Magnoliopsida; Poales; Bromeliaceae
Description: long non-coding RNA (ACOM_LNC026322)
Source: RNAcentral